CCUACGGGAGGCAGCAGUGAGGAAUAUUGGUCAAUGGACGAGAGUCUGAACCAGCCAAGUAGCGUGAAGGAUGACUGCCCUAUGGGUUGUAAACUUCUUUUAUAUGGGAAUAAAACGUUCCACGUGUGGGAUUUUGUAUGUACCAUAUGAAUAAGGAUCGGCUAACUCCGUGCCAGCAGCCGCGGUAAUACGGAGGAUCCGAUCGUUAUCCGGAUUUAUUGGGUUUAAAGGGAGCGUAGGUGGAUUGUUAAGUCAGUUGUGAAAGUUUGCGGCUCAACCGUAAAAUUGCAGUUGAAACUGGCAGUCUUGAGUACAGUAGAGGUGAGCGGAAUUCGUGGUGUAGCGGUGAAAUGCUUAGAUAUCACGAAGAACUCCGAUUGCGAAGGCAGUUCACUGGACUGCAACUGACACUGAGGCUCGAAAGUGUGGGUAUCAAACAGGAUUAGAUACCCGAGUAGUC
RNAcentral lists this ribosomal RNA (460 nucleotides) under uncultured bacterium. RNAcentral's name for it is "partial 16S ribosomal RNA". It matches the Rfam family "Bacterial small subunit ribosomal RNA", at positions 338 to 795 of the family's 1533-position model. The record is from RNAcentral.